Callorhinus ursinus (northern fur seal) is the source of this 635-nucleotide non-coding RNA. Lineage: Eukaryota; Metazoa; Chordata; Mammalia; Carnivora; Otariidae. The record is from RefSeq and is a predicted model, not a curated record.
AUCUAAAAGCUUAAAAUGUAAAACAAAACAAAACACCCAGUAAAAUGUUAGCACAUUCUUUCAAUCAUUAUAAUUUUAAUAAACAUGUUGUGAAGUUUUAGGCCACCUGGCAAAAGAGUUUAUUUUUAAAAAGUAAUUUCUACAUAAUGAUUUCACUUCUCUAAAUCAAAUCCAAGCUGAAACUUCCAGAGUGCUGCUAAUCAGCAACCACAAAAUUAAAACAUUAAGGGUUGGAAGGUUCCUUUGAUUUUACCUAGACUCACCCAGUCUAAUUCCCACUAAAACACUGUUAGAAAUGAAACAAAUUAUAAUAAGGCCUAUAGUAAGCUAAAUGGCAUUCACAAUUAAAAACAAAACAAAAUAAAACCCCAGGGAAAAGCUCUAACACCUUCAAUAUUAAACUGGGACUUGCUAUGAAUUUUUAGCUAUAAAUACUGUAAAGAAAGAACAAAAGCUAACAGUACAAAAACUAGGCCAUUUAAUGAAAUAAGAAAAAUAAUGUGAAAGGACAAAAGCACAUCUAUGUAGACUUCAAAAUAACAUUUAACUCAGAGAACUAUCAUAUCAUUUUGGUAGAUCUAGCAGAAGAGGCACAUAACUGCUCUAAUUCCCUAACAACACGAAUGCCCCAGGCC